CGGGAGUAACGCGUGAGCAAUCUGCCUUUAAGAGGGGGAUAACAGUCGGAAACGGCUGCUAAUACCGCAUAAAGCAUUAAAUUCGCAUGUUUUUGAUGCCAAAGGAGCAAUCCGCUUUUAGAUGAGCUCGCGUCUGAUUAGCUGGUUGGCGGGGUAACGGCCCACCAAGGCGACGAUCAGUAGCCGGACUGAGAGGUUGAACGGCCACAUUGGGACUGAGACACGGCCCAG
RNAcentral lists this ribosomal RNA (231 nucleotides) under uncultured bacterium. RNAcentral describes it as "partial 16S ribosomal RNA". It matches the Rfam family "Bacterial small subunit ribosomal RNA", at positions 106 to 334 of the family's 1533-position model. The record is from RNAcentral.